UCUGUAGUAGCUACCACCUUUCACAUUCCAACUUAAAAUGCCACCUUGGCUUUUGAGAGAUUUGAGACCACUUAAGGAAAACCAAACUACUCACUUUUCGCUAAACAUUACUCACACCUCAAAUACAACUUAGCAGUUACUAAACACCAAGGUUGGAACAGUGCUUUAGAACAUGGAGUAAAGUCUCCACCUAGUGGUCACUUUGAAAAAACCUACAGCUUUAAAAUCCAAGGUUCAGCUAUACAGUGUUGAGUUAAAUUACAGAAAUCAACAUCAGACCAAAAUAAGGUAGAACAGCUUUUAAUUUUUUGCAAAACAAAGACUUGGAAUACAGACAAGCCUGGACUCAGGCAAAGGAAUCGUACAGUCCUCUCUCCAUGCAGCAUUCAGUGUUGCACAUGAGAACCUUCAAAAACCCUCCAGACCUAAUGGAAUGUAGCAUUCCCGUGUGUACACACCCCCAACAUUUAAAACUCAGUGCAACAGGGUACUCAUUAGACAAAUGUGCUGUCACCAUUAACCGACUGAAUACAGCAACAGAAUCAAAACUGCCUAGUUAAUCUUUAAAAGGGUGUUUUGCAGAAAG
Molecule: long non-coding RNA, 586 nt
Organism: Cynoglossus semilaevis (tongue sole)
Lineage: Eukaryota; Metazoa; Chordata; Actinopteri; Pleuronectiformes; Cynoglossidae
Exons: 2
Source: RefSeq, a predicted model, not a curated record